This 241-nucleotide unclassified non-coding RNA is filed under the name Bombus terrestris (buff-tailed bumblebee). RNAcentral describes it as "misc RNA ENSBTSG00005033495.1". Lineage: Eukaryota; Metazoa; Arthropoda; Insecta; Hymenoptera; Apidae. The record is from RNAcentral.
GCUCCGCAGGUCACGCUCGAAACAAACUUUUCUAGAAUCAUUCAAUCAUACAAAGACGAGAUUUAACCCUUCUUUAUAGUGUAGCUCGGACGAGAAAGUCAGACAAGAUGUCAAGUAUACAUAGUACUAUAAUAUAUCGCACAUUUUCACUGGCGGAUAAGGGGAAGUUUAUAAUACAAGAAGUAUAAAAGAUAAUUGAUAAUAAUAUGGUAAAACUUUAAUACGGAAGUCGCUAAAAUUU